CGCCUGUUUAACAAAAACAUGUCUUUUUGAUAAUAAUUUAAAGUCGGGCCUGCCCAAUGAUUUUUUGAAUGGCCGCGGUAUUUUGACCGUGCAAAGGUAGCAUAAUCACUAGUCUAUUAAUUAUAGGCUUGAAUGAAUGGUUUAAUGAGAAAUUAGCUGUCUCUUAUCAAUUUAUUGAAUUUUAUUUUUAAGUAAAAAAGCUUAAAUUUUAUUGGAAGACGAGAAGACCCUAUAGAGUUUUAUAUUUUAUGUUUUUUAAUUUUUAUUUUAAAUUACAUAUUAUAUUUUGUUGGGGUGACGGAAAAAUUUAUUAAACUUUUUUUUUAUUUUUAUAUAUUUAAAUAGGUUUUUGAUCCAUUAUUAAUGAUUAAAAGAUUAAAUUACCUUAGGGAUAACAGCGUUAUUUAUUUAAAGAGUUCAAAUCGAAAAAUAAGUUUGCGACCUCGAUGUUGGAUUAA
RNAcentral lists this ribosomal RNA (458 nucleotides) under Oligomerus ptilinoides. RNAcentral's name for it is "partial 16S ribosomal RNA". It matches the Rfam family "Bacterial large subunit ribosomal RNA", at positions 1797 to 2540 of the family's 2925-position model. Lineage: Eukaryota; Metazoa; Arthropoda; Insecta; Coleoptera; Ptinidae. The record is from RNAcentral.